Molecule: ribosomal RNA, 520 nt
Filed under: uncultured Entrophospora
Lineage: Eukaryota; Fungi; Glomeromycota; Glomeromycetes; Entrophosporales; Entrophosporaceae
Description: SSU rRNA
Rfam family: Eukaryotic small subunit ribosomal RNA
Source: RNAcentral
AGCAACCGCGGUAACUCCAGCUCCAAUAGCGUAUAUUAAAGUUGUUGCGGUUAAAAAGCUCGUAGUUGAAUUUCGGGAUUGACACAUCGGUCGUGCCUUAAGGGGUAUGAACUGGUGUAGUCAAUUUCUCACCUUCUGGAGAACCGCGAUGCCCUUAAUUGGGUGUCGCGGGGAACCAGGACCUUUACUUUGAAAAAAUUAGAGUGUUUAAAGCAGGCAUUUUGCUUGAAUACAUUAGCAUGGAAUAAUAAAAUAGGACGGCAUGACUCUAUUUUGUUGGUUUCUAGGAUCACCGUAAUGAUUAAUAGGGAUAGUUGGGGGCAUUAGUAUUCAAUUGUCAGAGGUGAAAUUCUUGGAUUUAUUGAAGACUAACUACUGCGAAAGCAUUUGCCAAGGAUGUUUUCAUUAAUCAAGAACGAAAGUUAAGGGGAUCGAAGACGAUCAGAUACCGUCGUAGUCUUAACCAUAACUAUNCCGACUAGGAAUCAGACGAUGUUAAUUUUUAAUUGACUCGUUUUGG